This 1113-nucleotide ribosomal RNA is filed under the name Staphylococcus aureus. RNAcentral's name for it is "partial 23S ribosomal RNA". It matches the Rfam family "Bacterial large subunit ribosomal RNA", at positions 340 to 1461 of the family's 2925-position model. The record is from RNAcentral. Lineage: Bacteria; Bacillati; Bacillota; Bacilli; Caryophanales; Staphylococcaceae.
AUCUGGAAAGAUGAAUCAAAGAAGGUAAUAAUCCUGUAGUCGAAAAUGUUGUCUCUCUUGAGUGGAUCCUGAGUACGACGGAACACGUGAAAUUCCGUCGGAAUCUGGGAGGACCAUCUCCUAAGGCUAAAUACUCUCUAGUGACCGAUAGUGAACCAGUACCGUGAGGGAAAGGUGAAAAGCACCCCGGAAGGGGAGUGAAAUAGAACCUGAAACCGUGUGCUUACAAGUAGUCAGAGCCCGUUAAUGGGUGAUGGCGUGCCUUUUGUAGAAUGAACCGGCGAGUUACGAUUUGAUGCAAGGUUAAGCAGUAAAUGUGGAGCCGUAGCGAAAGCGAGUCUGAAUAGGGCGUUUAGUAUUUGGUCGUAGACCCGAAACCAGGUGAUCUACCCUUGGUCAGGUUGAAGUUCAGGUAACACUGAAUGGAGGACCGAACCGACUUACGUUGAAAAGUGAGCGGAUGAACUGAGGGUAGCGGAGAAAUUCCAAUCGAACCUGGAGAUAGCUGGUUCUCUCCGAAAUAGCUUUAGGGCUAGCCUCAAGUGAUGAUUAUUGGAGGUAGAGCACUGUUUGGACGAGGGGCCCCUCUCGGGUUACCGAAUUCAGACAAACUCCGAAUGCCAAUUAAUUUAACUUGGGAGUCAGAACAUGGGUGAUAAGGUCCGUGUUCGAAAGGGAAACAGCCCAGACCACCAGCUAAGGUCCCAAAAUAUAUGUUAAGUGGAAAAGGAUGUGGCGUUGCCCAGACAACUAGGAUGUUGGCUUAGAAGCAGCCAUCAUUUAAAGAGUGCGUAAUAGCUCACUAGUCGAGUGACACUGCGCCGAAAAUGUACCGGGGCUAAACAUAUUACCGAAGCUGUGGAUUGUCCUUUGGACAAUGGUAGGAGAGCGUUCUAAGGGCGUUGAAGCAUGAUCGUAAGGACAUGUGGAGCGCUUAGAAGUGAGAAUGCCGGUGUGAGUAGCGAAAGACGGGUGAGAAUCCCGUCCACCGAUUGACUAAGGUUUCCAGAGGAAGGCUCGUCCGCUCUGGGUUAGUCGGGUCCUAAGCUGAGGCCGACAGGCGUAGGCGAUGGAUAACAGGUUGAUAUUCCUGUACCACCUAUAAUCGUUUUA